GACGAACGCUGGCGGCGUGCCUAAUACAUGCAAGUAGGACGCACAGUCUAUACCGUAGCUUGCUACACCAUAGGCUGUGAGUUGCGAACGGGUGAGUAACGCGUAGGUAACCUGCCUAUUAGAGGGGGAUAACUAUUGGAAACGAUAGCUAAUACCGCAUAACAGUAUGUAACACAUGUUAGAUGCUUGAAAGAUGCAAUUGCAUCGCUAGUAGAUGGACCUGCGUUGUAUUAGCUAGUAGGUAGGGUAAUGGCCUACCUAGGCGACGAUACAUAGCCGACCUGAGAGGGUGAUCGGCCACACUGGGACUGAGACACGGCCCAGACUCCUACGGGAGGCAGCAGUAGGGAAUCUUCGGCAAUGGGGGAACCCUGACCGAGCAACGCCGCGUGAGUGAAGAAGGUUUUCGGAUCGUAAAGCUCUGUUGUUAAGGAAGAACGAGUGUGAGAAUGGAAAGUUCAUACUGUGACGGUACUUAACCAGAAAGGGACGGCUAACUACGUG
RNAcentral lists this ribosomal RNA (504 nucleotides) under uncultured bacterium. RNAcentral's name for it is "partial 16S ribosomal RNA". It matches the Rfam family "Bacterial small subunit ribosomal RNA", at positions 28 to 507 of the family's 1533-position model. The record is from RNAcentral.